RNAcentral lists this transfer RNA (83 nucleotides) under Karlodinium veneficum. RNAcentral describes it as "tRNA-Met". It matches the Rfam family "tRNA". From Rfam's summary of the family: Transfer RNA (tRNA) molecules are approximately 80 nucleotides in length. The record is from RNAcentral. Lineage: Eukaryota; Dinophyceae; Gymnodiniales; Kareniaceae.
GCAUCUGUAGCCAAGUGGUUGAAGGCAUCGGACUCAUAAUCCGACUCUAGAAGACAUCGUUGGUUCAAAUCCAUCCGGAUGCA